UGGAUAAUAGAAGUAUGUUUGACCAGAAAAAAGGACAACUGAAAUGUUUAUUUUUAAUAAUAAAAUGGAGAGAAAUAAAUAAACGUAUUUUAAUUUCGAAGCAAUUAAUAAUAGAGAAAAAGACAAAAAUAGCAAUAAAUCAAGUUUUUGUUCUCAAACUAUCAUUCAAGGUCAAAAGCCACAAAAAUAGCAUUUAAUAUUUUAUCAAAAGUCACAAACUUAGGGUUUAGAGUUAAAGGGUGGGGUUUAGGAUUUAGGGUUUAGGGUUUAUGGUUUAGGGUUUAGAGUUUAGGGUUUAGGGUUUAGGGUUUAGGGUUU
RNAcentral lists this long non-coding RNA (318 nucleotides) under Brassica napus (rape). RNAcentral's name for it is "long non-coding RNA (BNAP_LNC010552)". Lineage: Eukaryota; Viridiplantae; Streptophyta; Magnoliopsida; Brassicales; Brassicaceae. The record is from RNAcentral.